Molecule: ribosomal RNA, 313 nt
Filed under: Geotrichum klebahnii
Lineage: Eukaryota; Fungi; Ascomycota; Dipodascomycetes; Dipodascales; Dipodascaceae
Description: LSU rRNA
Rfam family: Eukaryotic large subunit ribosomal RNA
Source: RNAcentral
AGACCGAUAGCGAACAAGUACUGUGAAGGAAAGAUGAAAAGCACUUUGAAAAGAGAGUGAAAAAGUACGUGAAAUUGUUAAAAGGGAAGGGUAUUGAAUCAGACUUGGUGCUGUUGUUCAACUGUGUUUCGGCAUAGUGUACUCAGCAGUACUAGGCCAAGGUGGGGUGUUUGGGAGUGAAAAAGAAGUUGGAAGGUAACUCUUCGGAGUGUUAUAGCCUACUUUCAUAGCUCCUCAGGCGCCUCAGGACUGCGCUUCGGCAAGGACCUUGGCAUAAUGAUUCUAUACCGCCCGUCUUGAAACACGGACCAAG